Molecule: long non-coding RNA, 330 nt
Filed under: Homo sapiens (human)
Lineage: Eukaryota; Metazoa; Chordata; Mammalia; Primates; Hominidae
Description: non-protein coding lnc-GSDMC-34:23
Source: RNAcentral
CUGAACAGAUUGUGCCUGCAGCCUGGCCUGUUGCCCACAGCGGUCUACCUGCCACACUGGGAAAGAUCGAGCAGAGACAGAGAAGAAAAGGAGGCUCCAUUUUUCAGGCUGCUCUCCCGCAGGCUCAUGUUUUGUGUUCAUGCCAGGCAGAGAACACAAAAUGUUCCAAUAAAUAAGUAUCAAAGGUUAGUGGUGAAAAUGAAGGAGGAGGAGGCAUUGCGUGAAAAACUAAACAUGCAAAAUAUUACACACAAAGAGAACCAAAAUGCAGGUUCACUGGAAAUGAUAGACAAUAUGUUAAAACAAGAGGAGAGAAGAGAGCUGAAAUAA